GUCCUAGCCGUAAACGAUGGGCACUAACUAGAAGUCUCACCUGUGGGAUUUCUGGUGAAGCAAAUGUGAUAAGUGCCCCGCCUGGGAAGUAUGGUCGCAAGGCUAAAAACUCAAAGGAAUUGACGGGGGCUCACACAAGCGGUGGAGCAUGUGGUUCAAUUCGACGCAACGCGAAGAACCUUACCUAGGCUUGACAUGCAGGGAUUAGAUCCGUGAAAGCGGGUCGAUUGCCUUCGGGUGUAACCUGCACAGGUGUUGCAUGGCUGUCGU
This 270-nucleotide ribosomal RNA is filed under the name uncultured bacterium. Its description in RNAcentral is "partial 16S ribosomal RNA". It matches the Rfam family "Bacterial small subunit ribosomal RNA", at positions 793 to 1055 of the family's 1533-position model. The record is from RNAcentral.